UUCUAUCUUUCUAUAUCACACAAGAAGAUGAUGAACAGAAAUAGUGGUCAUUAAUUUAUAAAGAGGAAGAAGAAAAGAGAAGGACACAUGGCGGGAGGCGUUGCAAACAAGAGAAUGGCAUUUGCCACAGUUGGUUGGGCAAACAAGAGAAGGGCAUUCGCGGAUGAGAAAUAAUGGUUCACAGUUGGGCACCACUGGGUGGCUUGACCGGGCUACUAACGUUUGGCUUUCAACCAUUGUUCCAUUGGGUCGGUGCUGAUUUUUUCGAUAAUUCUCGCAUCCUUAAUUAACAAUUAAUAGUAUCAACGCUGAUUAAAUAGCUAUGUCCAUGUGGCCUCAUUUUUACUCUUGGACAGCGUUGGUGUUGACUCCAUGCUUUUUCUUUNUUUCCCUUCUCAGCGCUAGCUCUUCUGCUAAUGCUCAGCGCUGACUUAAGUAAUCACCAAUUAAAUAUCAGCGCUGACUUAUAUCAUAUUUUAAAUGAUUCAAACCUUGUUUGUUAUUAUGUAUUUGUUGCGAUCUUUGUUAAAAGAUUAGCCUUUGUGUGACUAUGCCAACAUCGGCAUCAAUUUGUUACGAGGAAAGAAAGGUUAAAAGGAACCAAUAUGUGCAGCUCUCCUCCAUUACUUCGAUCAGAGGUCUACUAGCAGCAAAUCCAGCAACUACACCUUUCAAUUUCAGUAACACAAAUCAAAGGUUUCAUCUAUGAAUUUCCUCCGUUCAUUUACACUUGCUCACAGUUAGAACACUUUAAUUGCAGUACCACAAACAUUUUCAGACUUCAAAUUCAUGAUAAGCAAUACACAAACCUUUUCAUCUACAUAGGUAUACAUAUCGAUUAUGCUUAUAUGAAAUCACUCAGAAUUUAUAUAUGUACAUACGCAUAUUUUGAGUAUAACUAUUUUUUUUACAAGAGAUUGAAUGAGUUUAAAAACCUACUGGAAUAAGAGAAAGAAGAAAGAUGGAGUCUUGAGUUUUGAUUUUGCUUGUCGAGCCUGAGUGUUUUGGGCAUCUGAGUGGGGAGGAGAUGAGGCGUCGACGGCGCUGCUGUCCGUCCGGUGGUGGUGGUCUGCCACUGACCGAAGAGAGAGAGAUUUCGAGGGAGGUCAGCGGCGGCGGUUGGCUUCGUCAGCUAAUGCGUCCGUCGGAUGAGGGAAGGAGGCGGCGUCACGUGGGUGGCGUUGUCGUCGGCGGGAGUCAGAGAGGGAGGCCAGGCGCGGCGGCCCUGCCGCUGUCGCUCGGCCACGGACGGAGAGAGAGAUGGGAACGAGAGAAGGGAGAACCGAGGGUGUCAGUGGCUGUCGCCGCUUGCUCCGGCGAGCUCUGGCGGCGGUGGAUUUCGAUGGUGGAGGGGUGGAUUUUCUGGCGGAACUGAGGGAGAAAGGGGCGAGCAGAUUUUGAGAAGGAGAGGGAGAUCCAUGUGUGCGCGUUGAGUGAGGAAAUAGGAGAGUUAGGGCUGGGUGUUGGGCUCCUGACAUGGGCCCGAUUUAAUUCCCUUGGGCCAUUUUUAUUUUAUAUGUUGGGCUGCAGUUAUUUAUUAAGUCAUGGGCUAAUUUAUUUAAACUUGGGCUGCCCUUGUAUAUUGGGCUGCAAAAUUUUUAAAAAAAG
This 1608-nucleotide long non-coding RNA is filed under the name Salvia miltiorrhiza (redroot sage). RNAcentral describes it as "long non-coding RNA (SMIL_LNC011707)". Lineage: Eukaryota; Viridiplantae; Streptophyta; Magnoliopsida; Lamiales; Lamiaceae. The record is from RNAcentral.